Lontra canadensis (Northern American river otter) is the source of this 658-nucleotide long non-coding RNA. RefSeq lists it as uncharacterized. The transcript is spliced from 3 exons. The record is from RefSeq and is a predicted model, not a curated record. Lineage: Eukaryota; Metazoa; Chordata; Mammalia; Carnivora; Mustelidae.
UAAAAUGACUCUAGCUAUUGUAAUAGCUAAACUCCAAAAUUUGAGUAGCUCAAGCAAGUAAGUUCCUUUCUUGCUUUUGCAAGGAGCCAAGAUGGUGUCCAGGCAGUUUUCCUCAUGGUGUGACUGAAGGACCCAGGGAUGUCCCAUCCUAGGAUGGCCAUCCCCGGGCUCACAGCCCUUCAACCUGACUGAUCAGGACCAAGUGAAAAGUGGAGGAAUCUUACCUGUUUAAUUAGCUUGGCCCAGAAGUGUCACUGAGUCAGAUUCCAGGGUUCAGAUAUGCAAAAGACCUCAGUGAAUGCUGCUGAAAGCUCUUGCCCUACUUUGAUCUAGUGUUGUCCUGCGUUUGGACCUGGAAGAAAUUCCUGGGAGUCAGACUGUUGAGUACAGAUGUCAGUCAUUCUCUUUGGUUCGGCUUUGCUUCGUGUCACCUGCCCAGGAUCCACUGAAGAGAAAUCACCUUGCGUUAUGUCAAAGUGACAUGUUUGUUGAACUGUAACGAUAAUAAUCCUCCCCAUUAACCUACCAGGAGCUGGAGGCAUUUUGUACUCAAGCAAUGACGAAUUUUUAUUUUCUCACUUAAUAAAAAAAAAAAAAAAUCUCCAUCUCAGUUUCCAAAAUGUAUAUCUGGGUGAUAAAUGAGAAAACAGGGAAGGCA